RNAcentral lists this ribosomal RNA (305 nucleotides) under uncultured bacterium. RNAcentral describes it as "bacterial SSU rRNA". It matches the Rfam family "Bacterial small subunit ribosomal RNA", at positions 338 to 659 of the family's 1533-position model. The record is from RNAcentral.
CCUACGGGGCGCAGCAGUGGGGGAUAUUGCACAAUGGGGGAAACCCUGAUGCAGCGACGCCGCGUGUGGGAAGACGGUCCUCUGGAUUGUAAACCACUGUCCCCAGGGACGAAGAUGACGGUACCUGGGGAGGAAGCUCCGGCUAACUACGUGCCAGCAGCCGCGGUAAUACGUAGGGAGCAAGCGUUGUCCGGAUUUACUGGGUGCAAAGGGCGUGCAGCCGGGCUGACAAGUCAGAUGUGAAAUCCCGCGGCCCAACCGCGGAACUGCAUUUGAAACUGUCAGUCUUGCGUACCGGAGAGGUC